This 76-nucleotide transfer RNA is filed under the name Legionella londiniensis. Its description in RNAcentral is "tRNA-Ala(tgc)". It matches the Rfam family "tRNA". Rfam says of the family: Transfer RNA (tRNA) molecules are approximately 80 nucleotides in length. Their secondary structure includes four short double-helical elements and three loops (D, anti-codon, and T loops). Further hydrogen bonds mediate the characteristic L-shaped molecular structure. tRNAs have two regions of fundamental functional importance: the anti-codon, which is responsible for specific mRNA codon recognition, and the 3' end, to which the tRNAs corresponding amino acid is attached (by aminoacyl-tRNA synthetases). tRNAs cope with the degeneracy of the genetic code in two manners: having more than one tRNA (with a specific anti-codon) for a particular amino acid; and 'wobble' base-pairing, i.e. permitting non-standard base-pairing at the 3rd anti-codon position. Lineage: Bacteria; Pseudomonadati; Pseudomonadota; Gammaproteobacteria; Legionellales; Legionellaceae. The record is from RNAcentral.
GGGGUCGUAGCUCAGCUGGGAGAGCACCUGCCUUGCACGCAGGGGGUCGGGAGUUCGAAUCUCCCCGGCUCCACCA